UACGUAGGGACCAAGCGUUGUUCGGAUUUACUGGGCGUAAAGGGCGCGUAGGCGGCGCGGUAAGUCACUUGUGAAAUCUCUGAGCUUAACUCAGAACGGCCAAGUGAUACUGCAGUGCUAGAGUGUGGAAGGGGCAAUCGGAAUUAGUAGUGUAGCAGUGAAAUGCGUAGAUAUUACUAGGAACACCAAUGGCGAAGGCAGCUUGCUGGGCUACUCCUGACACUGAGGUACGAAAGCGUGGGGAGCGAACAGG
RNAcentral lists this ribosomal RNA (253 nucleotides) under uncultured bacterium. Its description in RNAcentral is "partial 16S ribosomal RNA". It matches the Rfam family "Bacterial small subunit ribosomal RNA", at positions 524 to 776 of the family's 1533-position model. The record is from RNAcentral.